Molecule: ribosomal RNA, 253 nt
Filed under: uncultured bacterium
Lineage: Bacteria
Description: partial 16S ribosomal RNA
Rfam family: Bacterial small subunit ribosomal RNA
Source: RNAcentral
UACAGAGGGUGCAAGCGUUAAUCGGAAUUACUGGGCGUAAAGCGUGCGUAGACGGUUGCGUAAGUCAGAUGUGAAAGCCCCGGGCUCAACCUGGGAAUUGCAUUUGAGACUGCGUAGCUAGGGUGCGGAAGAGGGGAGCGGAAUUUCCGGUGUAGCGGUGAAAUGCGUAGAGAUGUGGAGGAACACCGAUGGCGAAGGCAGCCUCCUGGGCCAAUACUGACGCUGAGGAGCGAAAGCGUGGGGAGCAAACAGG